Molecule: ribosomal RNA, 600 nt
Filed under: uncultured bacterium
Lineage: Bacteria
Description: bacterial SSU rRNA
Rfam family: Bacterial small subunit ribosomal RNA
Source: RNAcentral
CAUCUGGGGUGCAACUGACGCUGAGGCUCGAAAGUGCGGGUAUCAAACAGGAUUAGAUACCCUGGUAGUCCGCACAGUAAACGAUGAAUACUCGCUGUCGGCGAUACACGGUCGGCGGCCAAGCGAAAGCAUUAAGUAUUCUACCUGGGGAGUACGCCGGCAACGGUGAAACUCAAAGGAAUUGACGGGGGCCCGCACAAGCGGAGGAACAUGUGGUUUAAUUCGAUGAUACGCGAGGAACCUUACCCGGGCUUGAACUGCACCCGACGGACAGGGAGAUUUGUCUUCCGCAAGGCGGGUGUGGAGGUGCUGCAUGGUUGUCGUCAGCUCGUGCCGUGAGGUGUCGGCUUAAGUGCCAUAACGAGCGCAACCCUUCUCUUCAGUUGCCAUCAGGUAGAGCUGGGCACUCUGGAGACACUGCCAUCGUAAGAUGCGAGGAAGGUGGGGAUGACGUCAAAUCAGCACGGCCUUGACGUUCGGUGCGACCCACGUCUUACAACGGUGGUACAGAAGGCCGCGACCGGGCGACGGGAAGCCAAUCCCCAAAUCCUCUGUCAGUUCGGACUGGACUCUGCAACCCGACUGAACGAAGCUGAUUCG